GCCAGCAUAGUGUAGUGGUAUGAAUGCCAGACUACAAGUCUGGAGACUUGGGUUUCAAUCCCUACUCGGGCA
RNAcentral lists this transfer RNA (72 nucleotides) under Anolis carolinensis (green anole). It matches the Rfam family "tRNA". Rfam says of the family: Transfer RNA (tRNA) molecules are approximately 80 nucleotides in length. Lineage: Eukaryota; Metazoa; Chordata; Lepidosauria; Squamata; Anolidae. The record is from Rfam by way of RNAcentral.